Molecule: ribosomal RNA, 792 nt
Filed under: uncultured Lactobacillus sp.
Lineage: Bacteria; Bacillati; Bacillota; Bacilli; Lactobacillales; Lactobacillaceae
Description: bacterial SSU rRNA
Rfam family: Bacterial small subunit ribosomal RNA
Source: RNAcentral
GAUGAACGCCGGCGGUGUGCCUAAUACAUGCAAGUCGAGCGCACUGGCCCAACAGAAAUGACGUGCUUACACUGAUUUGACGUUGGAUUCCCAGUGAGCGGCGGACGGGUGAGUAACACGUGGGCAACCUGCCCCAAAGCGGGGGAUAACAUUUGGAAACAGGUGCUAAUACCGCAUAACUUGGAAAACCACAUGGUUUUCCAAUAAAAGAUGGUUUCGGCUAUCACUUUGGGAUGGGCCCGCGGUGCAUUAGCUAGUUGGUAAGGUAACGGCUUACCAAGGCGAUGAUGCAUAGCCGAGUUGAGAGACUGAUCGGCCACAAUGGAACUGAGACACGGUCCAUACUCCUACGGGAGGCAGCAGUAGGGAAUCUUCCACAAUGGGCGCAAGCCUGAUGGAGCAACACCGCGUGAGUGAAGAAGGGUUUCGGCUCGUAAAACUCUGUUGUUGGAGAAGAACGUGCGUAAGAGUAACUGUUUACGCAGUGACGGUAUCCAACCAGAAAGUCACGGCUAACUACGUGCCAGCAGCCGCGGUAAUACGUAGGUGGCAAGCGUUAUCCGGAUUUAUUGGGCGUAAAGCGAGCGCAGGCGGUUGCUUAGGUCUGAUGUGAAAGCCUUCGGCUUAACCGAAGAAGUGCAUCGGAAACCGGGCGACUUGAGUGCAGAAGAGGACAGUGGAACUCCAUGUGUAGCGGUGGAAUGCGUAGAUAUAUGGAAGAACACCAGUGGCGAAAGCGGCUGUCUGGUCUGCAACUGACGCUGAGGCUCUAAAGCAUGGGUAGCGAACAGG